This 253-nucleotide ribosomal RNA is filed under the name uncultured bacterium. Its description in RNAcentral is "partial 16S ribosomal RNA". It matches the Rfam family "Bacterial small subunit ribosomal RNA", at positions 524 to 776 of the family's 1533-position model. The record is from RNAcentral.
GACGUAGGGGGCGAGCGUUGUCCGGAUUUAUUGGGCGUAAAGCGCGCGUAGGCGGCCUGUUAAGUCGGGUGUGAAAACCCGGGGCUCAACCCCGGGCCUGCAUUCGAUACUGGCAGGCUAGAGGCAGGCAGGGGAGAUCGGAAUUCCUGGUGUAGCGGUGAAAUGCGCAGAUAUCAGGAGGAACACCGGUGGCGAAGGCGGGUAGCUGGGCCGACACUGACGCUGAGGCGCGAAAGCCAGGGGAGCGAACGGG